GAUCAUGGCUCAGGAUGAACGCUAGCUACAGGCUUAACACAUGCAAGUCGAGGGGCAGCAUGGUCUUAGCUUGCUAAGACUGAUGGCGACCGGCGCACGGGUGAGUAACGCGUAUCCAACCUGCCCAUCACUUGGGAAUAACCUUGCGAAAGUAAGACUAAUACCCAAUGAUAUCCCACGAAGGCAUCCGAAUGGGAUUAAAGAUUUAUCGGUGAUGGAUGGGGAUGCGU
RNAcentral lists this ribosomal RNA (230 nucleotides) under uncultured bacterium. RNAcentral's name for it is "partial 16S ribosomal RNA". It matches the Rfam family "Bacterial small subunit ribosomal RNA", at positions 15 to 236 of the family's 1533-position model. The record is from RNAcentral.